This 253-nucleotide ribosomal RNA is filed under the name uncultured bacterium. RNAcentral describes it as "partial 16S ribosomal RNA". It matches the Rfam family "Bacterial small subunit ribosomal RNA", at positions 524 to 776 of the family's 1533-position model. The record is from RNAcentral.
GACGUAGGGUGCAAGCGUUGUCCGGAUUUAUUGGGCGUAAAGAGCUCGUAGGCGGCUUGUUGCGUCGACUGUGAAAACCCGCGGCUUAACCGCGGGCUUGCAGUUGAUACGGGCAGGCUAGAGUUCGGUAGGGGAGACUGGAAUUCCUGGUGUGGCGGUGAAAUGCGCAGAUAUCAGGAGGAACACCGGUGGCGAAGGCGGGUCUCUGGGCCGAUACUGACGCUGAGGAGCGAAAGCGUGGGGAGCGAACAGG